Solanum dulcamara is the source of this 1289-nucleotide RNA transcript. It is a transcript of the gene named probable plastid-lipid-associated protein 11, chloroplastic, with no coding region annotated. The record is from RefSeq and is a predicted model, not a curated record. NCBI's taxonomy places the organism in Eukaryota, Viridiplantae, Streptophyta, Magnoliopsida, Solanales, Solanaceae. The transcript is spliced from 5 exons.
AUAUAUUUAUCCUUUUACCUACCAAAGAGGGAAAAGCACAAGAAGUUCACAACUGCCACUUGUUUCUUCCCCGUAAAACUCAACAGAGCAAAAAUGGCAACCUGCUUCUCUCUUCCCGCCACUCCAAAUUCCUUUUUGCACUUCCCUUCUAAUCCCAAAUCUCACAAAAGACCCAUCCAUUCUUCUUCCCUCACAUCUCAAUCCCAAAAAAACCAUCUUCUCAACCUAAUUUCUGACCAAGAACGUGGCCUCAGGACUCAAUCCGACCCCCCAAAACUCUCACAAAUAAUCCAGGCUAUUGACGAUUUGGGUUCCAUUGGACGUGACACUGUCACCACUGGAAGUUCCCUUUCGGCCACUUGGCGUUUGCUUUGGACUACGGAGAAAGAACAACUUUAUAUUAUUAAGAAUGCCCCUUUUUUCGGUACUAAAGCUGGUGAUGUUCUUCAGGUUAUUGAUGUUGAGAAAAGAACACUUAACAAUGUUAUCACUUUUCCCCCUGAUGGGGUUUUCUUUGUUCGGUCUACUAUUGAAGUUGCAUCUUCUCAGCGUGUGAAUUUCAGAUUCACAAGUGCAGUUCUGCGUGGAAAAAAUUGGGAAUUUCCUCUACCACCAUUUGGACAAGGGUGGUUUGAGACUGUGUACCUUGAUGAUGAGAUUCGAGCAGUCAAAGAUAUCAGGCAAGACUACCUGAUUGUCGAACGUGCUCCUUAUACUUGGAAAGAAUGAUCGUCGGAUUUGUCUUCCGCUAUCUCUGUACAUAAAUUUCACUGUACGACCUUGCUUGGUAUCAACUCGUUUUCUUUAGUCUCUGUGGCUUUCUUUUUUUCCAGAACUCUACAAAUCAUAUCAUGGAGUAUCCUCGUAUUCAAGUUUUCAGGACAUAACCCUUUGGAGGUUGUGUCCUGCUUCUUGUCACAGCAUCAGGAGCAAGUGAGUGCCCACAAUACUCAACUUAUUUCAAAUAAGGCCAUGUAUGCAUGUGAAAUGGAAAACCAGGGAGGAGAGAACCCAUACCGGAACAACAGGGAUGUCCUCUUCUGGCUUAAAGUCUAAUGUCCAUUUUUUGAGCAACAUUUGCAUUCAUUCAAUCUCAAUCACUCUUUUGAGCCGUACUAGCUUGAAGUCAACUUCAUUUGUGAAGUCAAGAAACACAUUAUAAUUGUCCUAUACUACAACUUGGCCGAGCCUUUUACUGGAAUAAAUUCCUUGAUGUAAGAUGUGGCUCACGUUUGGUUUAAUAAAUAAUUAAAUAUAUGAGCUAAAUCCCAAUUUAGAUGGGGAAGUUA